Molecule: ribosomal RNA, 495 nt
Filed under: uncultured bacterium
Lineage: Bacteria
Description: partial 16S ribosomal RNA
Rfam family: Bacterial small subunit ribosomal RNA
Source: RNAcentral
AUGAACGCUGGCGGCGUGCCUAAUACAUGCAAGUCGAGCGCACGGACGAGAAGCUUGCUUCUCUGAUGUUAGCGGCGGACGGGUGAGUAACACGUGGAUAACCUACCUAUAAGACUGGGAUACUUCGGGAAACCGUAGCUAAUACCGGAUAAUAUUUUGAACCGCAUGGUUCAAAAGUGAAAGACGGUCUUGCUGUCACUUAUAGAUGGAUCCGCGCUGCAUUAGCUAGUUGGUAAGGUAACGGCUUACCAAGGCAACGAUGCAUAGCCGACCUGAGAGGGUGAUCGGCCACACUGGAACUGAGACACGGUCCAGACUCCUACGGGAGGCAGCAGUAGGGAAUCUUCCGCAAUGGGCGAAAGCCUGACGGAGCAACGCCGCGUGAGUGAUGAAGGUCUUCGGAUCGUAAAACUCUGUUAUUAGGGAAGAACAUAUGUGUAAGUAACUGUGCACAUCUUGACGGUACCUAAUCAGAAAGCCACGGCUAACUACGUG